This 422-nucleotide ribosomal RNA is filed under the name uncultured bacterium. Its description in RNAcentral is "bacterial SSU rRNA". It matches the Rfam family "Bacterial small subunit ribosomal RNA", at positions 30 to 457 of the family's 1533-position model. The record is from RNAcentral.
AUUGAACGCUGGCGGAAUGCUUUACACAUGCAAGUCGAACGGCAGCACGGGGCAACCUGGUGGCGAGUGGCGAACGGGUGAGUAAUACAUCGGAACGUGCCCAAUCGUGGGGGAUAACGUAGCGAAAGUUACGCUAAUACCGCAUACGAUCUACGGAUGAAAGCGGGGGUCGCAAGACCUCGCGCGAAUGGAGCGGCCGAUGUCAGAUUAGGUAGUUGGUGGGGUAAAGGCUCACCAAGCCGACGAUCUGUAGCUGGUCUGAGAGGACGACCAGCCACACUGGGACUGAGACACGGCCCAGACUCCUACGGGAGGCAGCAGUGGGGAAUUUUGGACAAUGGGCGCAAGCCUGAUCCAGCCAUUCCGCGUGCAGGAUGAAGGCCUCGGUUGUAACUAGCUUUGUUACGGAACGAAACGGUUAC